AUCGCUUCUUGGCCUUUUGGCUAAGAACAAGUGUAGUAUCUGUUCUUAUCAGUUUAAUAUCUGAUACGUCCUCUAUAUGAGGACUACAUAUUAAACGGAUUUUUGACCGUGGGAGUCGGAAGAGGGGCUUGCUCCAUCCGCUCCAUGAAUCAGCCCGGUAUUGCAGUACUUCUGGGAAUGGUGCACCUCUU
This is a small nuclear RNA of Silurus meridionalis, 191 nucleotides long. RefSeq annotates it as U2 spliceosomal RNA. The record is from RefSeq and is a predicted model, not a curated record. Lineage: Eukaryota; Metazoa; Chordata; Actinopteri; Siluriformes; Siluridae. The transcript has a single exon.